UGAGGAAUAUUGGUCAAUGGGCGGGAGCCUGAACCAGCCAAGCCGCGUGAGGGAUGAAGGCCCUAUGGGUCGUAAACCUCUUUUGUCAGGGAACAAAAGCGAGUAUGUAUACUAGUCUGAGUGUACCUGAAGAAAAAGCAUCGGCUAACUCCGUGCCAGCAGCCGCGGUAAUACGGAGGAUGCGAGCGUUAUCCGGAUUUAUUGGGUUUAAAGGGUGCGUAGGCGGCGGUGCAAGUCAGCGGUAAAAGCCCGGGGCUCAACCCCGGCGAGCCGUUGAAACUGCAGUGCUAGAGAAGGCGAGAGGUACGCGGAAUGCGCAGUGUAGUGGUGAAAUGCUUAGAUAUUGCGCAGAACUCCGAUUGCGAAGGCAGCGUACUGGCGCCUGACUGACGCUGAGGCACGAAAGCGUGGGGAUCGAACAGGAUUAGAUACC
Molecule: ribosomal RNA, 433 nt
Filed under: uncultured bacterium
Lineage: Bacteria
Description: bacterial SSU rRNA
Rfam family: Bacterial small subunit ribosomal RNA
Source: RNAcentral